AGAGUUUGAUCCUGGCUCAGAUUGAACGCUGGCGGAAUGCUUUACACAUGCAAGUCGAACGGUAGAGGGGGCAACCCCUCGAGAGUGGCGAACGGGUGAGUAAUAUAUCGGAACGUGCCCAGUCGUGGGGGAUAACGUAGCGAAAGUUACGCUAAUACCGCAUACGAUCUACGGAUGAAGGCGGGGGAUCGCAAGACCUCGCGCGAUUGGAGCGGCCGAUAUCAGAUUAGGUAGUUGGUGGGGUAAAGGCUCACCAAGCCAACGAUCUGUAGCUGGUCUGAGAGGACGACCAGCCACACUGGAACUGAGACACGGUCCAGACUCCUACGGGAGGCAGCAGUGGGGAAUUUUGGACAAUGGACGCAAGUCUGAUCCAGCCAUUCCGCGUGCAGGAUGAAGGCCCUCGGGUUGUAAACUGCUUUUGUACGGAACGAAAAGGUCUCUCUUAAUACGGGGGGCUCAUGACGGUACCGUAAGAAUAAGCACCGGCUAACUACGUGCCAGCAGCCGCGGUAAUACGUAGGGUGCAAGCGUUAAUCGGAAUUACUGGGCGUAAAGCGUGCGCAGGCGGUUAUGUAAGACAGAGGUGAAAUCCCCGGGCUCAACCUGGGAACUGCCUUUGUGACUGCAUAGCUAGAGUACGGUAGAGGGGGAUGGAAUUCCGCGUGUAGCAGUGAAAUGCGUAGAUAUGCGGAGGAACACCGAUGGCGAANGCAAUCCCCUGGACCUGUACUGACGCUCAUGCACGAAAGCGUGGGGAGCAAACAGGAUUAGAUACCCUGGUAGUCCACGCCCUAAACGAUGUCAACUGGUUGUUGGGUCUUCACUGACUCAGUAACGAAGCUAACGCGUGAAGUUGACCGCCUGGGGAGUACGGCCGCAAGGUUGAAACUCAAAGGAAUUGACGGG
RNAcentral lists this ribosomal RNA (909 nucleotides) under uncultured bacterium. RNAcentral's name for it is "bacterial SSU rRNA". It matches the Rfam family "Bacterial small subunit ribosomal RNA", at positions 8 to 917 of the family's 1533-position model. The record is from RNAcentral.